RNAcentral lists this ribosomal RNA (497 nucleotides) under uncultured bacterium. RNAcentral's name for it is "partial 16S ribosomal RNA". It matches the Rfam family "Bacterial small subunit ribosomal RNA", at positions 28 to 507 of the family's 1533-position model. The record is from RNAcentral.
GAUGAACGCUGGCGGCGUGCCUAAUACAUGCAAGUCGAGCGAACGGACGAGAAGCUUGCUUCUCUGAUGUUAGCGGCGGACGGGUGAGUAACACGUGGAUAACCUACCUAUAAGACUGGGAUAACUUCGGGAAACCGGAGCUAAUACCGGAUGAUAUUUUGAACCGCAUGGUUCAAAAGUGAAAGACGGUCUUGCUGUCACUUAUAGAUGGAUCCGCGCUGCAUUAGCUGGUUGGUAAGGUAACGGCUUACCAAGGCAACGAUGCAUAGCCGACCUGAGAGGGUGAUCGGCCACACUGGAACUGAGCCACGGUCCAGACUCCUACGGGAGGCAGCAGUAGGGAAUCUUCCGCAAUGGGCGAAAGCCUGACGGAGCAACGCCGCGUGAGUGAUGAAGGUCUUCGGAUCGUAAAACUCUGUUAUUAGGGAAGAACAUAUGUGUAAGUAACUGUGCACAUCUUGACGGUACCUAAUCAGAAAGCCACGGCUAACUACGUG